RNAcentral lists this ribosomal RNA (434 nucleotides) under uncultured Clostridium sp. RNAcentral's name for it is "partial 16S ribosomal RNA". It matches the Rfam family "Bacterial small subunit ribosomal RNA", at positions 341 to 792 of the family's 1533-position model. The record is from RNAcentral. Lineage: Bacteria; Bacillati; Bacillota; Clostridia; Eubacteriales; Clostridiaceae. RNAcentral also lists the same sequence under 1 other name.
ACGGAAGGCAGCAGUGGGGAAUAUUGCACAAUGGGGGAAACCCUGAUGCAGCGACGCCGCGUGAGUGAAGAAGUUAUUCGUAAUGUAAAGCUCUAUCAGCAGGGAAGAUGAUGACGGUACCUGACUAAGAAGCACCGGCUAAAUACGUGCCAGCAGCCGCGGUAAUACGUAUGGUGCAAGCGUUAUCCGGAUUUACUGGGUGUAAAGGGAGCGCAGACGGCUUUGCAAGUCUGAAGUGAAAUCCACGGGCUCAACCCGUGAACUGCUUUGGAAACUGUAGAGCUAGAGUGCAGGAGAGGUAAGUGGAAUUCCUAGUGUAGCGGUGAAAUGCGUAGAUAUUAGGAGGAACACCAGUGGCGAAGGCGGCUUACUGGACUGUAACUGACGUUGAGGCUCGAAAGCGUGGGGAGCAAACAGGAUUAGAUACCCUGGUA